Molecule: long non-coding RNA, 4728 nt
Organism: Felis catus (domestic cat)
Lineage: Eukaryota; Metazoa; Chordata; Mammalia; Carnivora; Felidae
Exons: 4
Source: RefSeq, a predicted model, not a curated record
UCAUGAACAGUGAGAUCAUGACCUGAGCUGAAGUCAGAUGCUGAACCGACUGAGCCACCCAGACAAGGAGAGGAGAUUGAGAGGAGCCAAGAGUGGAGCACAGAUGCCAACGGGUGCCAAGAAGAAGCACCGGCACCCUGUCUCCUACGGGGCAAAACCAAGGGAGGUCAUUGCAAUAUCUGGAUUUACUUAGAUGAAUGUCAAGUUUGGAAUAGCACCCAGCCAAUAGGACGCCUGGGUAACAAGGACUGAGUGUGUAUGUCUAAGAGGAGAGAGUUUGGAGAACAGAUCAUCAGCCACAAAGCACUCAACCCUGAUCUCCCAUUAUGAAAAUGAACAACAAAUGUUUGUUAAAUGCCUGCUAUGUGUGGGAAUAGUCGUUUUCCUAGACUAGCGACAUCAGCAUCACCUGAGAGCUUGUUAGAAAUUCAAAUAGGAAGCUUUGGGAUUGGAGCCCAGCAAUCCGUGUUUUAACAAGCCCUCCAGGAGAUUCCCAUACAUAUUAAAGGUGUCAUUUAGAACUGGAAUUUCACUGGGUAAUGGUGAGGUGGGGACUGGGCUGGGCAUCCUGUGGGCAGCAUGGGGUAGUGGCUGAGCACAGAGCUCAUUCCUCUGACUCCUUAGGGGGUGCACCUCUCGCCACCUCAGGACUUGCAUUUGGGGAGAAGAAUCAUUCUUCUCUGGGAGUCAGAUCUCAUUCCAGAUAAAAUGCUCAAAUGGGAGAUAUUCCAAUUUGUGGUUAAUACUGUGUGCCGGGAAAACAAAGCUGUUCUCUAUUGCUGUCAUGACAUUCGCUUAUGGAGCAGGAGGAGGGACCUAAGAAGGAGGGAAAGGGGACAAGAGAGCCUGAAAAAGAUUUGAUCCCUACCAUUACCACGUCUCCUUUCCACUACCCUGUCCCACAACUCUUUCCCCAUUUGCCUCUUGACCUCCCUGGGUCCGGCAUGCUCUCCAAUGAAUUUUGGGAGAGCUGAAACAGUGAAGGGGAGCUAUGUACUAGAGAUGGUGUAGAGAGGGAGGAUGCCCCAGGCCAGUCCCUGCCUCACCCUUUAACCAACAAGAUUCUGAUUCCAAGGGCAAGUUGCACCUUCACUAACCAGAGCUAUAACAGUAUUCAACCCCACUUCCUUCUGCUUUUUUUGUGGGGGGGUGGUGCGGAAAGCAAUUCCUGGAAAUAGAACUUGUCUUUCACUUCAACAGGAUGUAACUCUGAUGUACAUUCCAAUGUCAGCUGUUGGUGACCCAGCCCUCAAUAGGAAGGCCAGCCCAUCCCUACACUAGUCCUUGGCUGAGAGUGCCUGACUGCUUCCCAACUUCCUGAGGGGCACAGAGCUUGUCACUCCUCCGCACACAGUCUCAGUAGUCAGAUUUAGGGACCAGUCAUGCUUGGAAUCAGUAUUCCCAGCAAGAAAGCUUUCCUUUUGGAAAUUUUUGAUCUUUGCAUCAUCAAAGAGACUGGGAGAGAGCAGUCUUUAAUUUUUACUUAUGGCUUGAAAUUAAUAUGUAAAUAUAUGAAAGAGGGGAAACUGAGUGGACUCAGUCACUAGACAUCUGAGUCUUUAUUUCAAAAUCAAUUUUUUUGCAAGAUGACUACUCAGCUACAUACAUUGAAAGAGACUAGUGACCGAAGGACAGAAGACAGAAGGGUUGGUUUAUCUGGGUUCCAUAUAAUCCAUAUGCAAGGAGAUAGAUUUGUCUAACACUGAAAAAACCUCAACUAAAUCAUUUUAAAGCAAAUACUAGCAACAUUGCUUGAAUCUUCGAUUAACUAGAGGGGUUUAACUAUCCCCAAAGAACUAUCAGGCAUUUAUCCAGUGGACUGUGGAUAAACCUACAGUUUGUUUUUUGAGACCGGGGAGGGGGGGAUUGAGGGUUAGAAGUAAAUUGGUGUUUUAAAAAGUCCCUAAUAUUCCUUAAUCCUCAAUUCCAUUUUUCUGGGUUUCUUUGUACAGCAUAUCUAUAUAGGGUAUCUUUGUUAAAAUUCUGGUGUUUCUUUGGUUACUAGAGUUGCAAUUUUUCUCCGAAGCCUCUAUUGACAUAUGAACUUACUGACAGAACUUACUGUUCAGAAUCAUAGAACUGUUUAUAACUAAAAGGGACUUCGAAGAUUAUAGUCCAACUUCUGUUAUCUUACAAACAAGGAAACCAAGUCCAGAAAGUUUGAGUGACUUGCCCAAGGUCACAGAACUAGAUGCUAGAGCUGAGACAAGAAUUCUGGCCUUUUUUUUUUCUUCUUUUUUUAAAGUAAGUGCUGUGCCCAAUGUGGGGUUUGAACUCACAACCUCAAGAUCAAGAGUUGCAUGCUCUACAGACUGAGCCAGCCAGGCACCCCAAGAAUUCAAACUUCUUAACUCACAGUCAAGGACUGAGUACAUCACUCUGUUACUUUGCUAGUUUGUUUUUGUUUGUUUGUUUGUUUGUUUUAAUACCCGAAAUUCUUUACCCUCUUGAGAUUCCUGGAGCAUUUUGCCAGUAUGGUGUGAAUAUCAGGCUUUUUCUUAAGCAAGGAGGAUUUGAUAUUAUCAAAGAACACCUACAUGGGGAACUGCUCCCAAGGGUAGACACAGAUUAGAUGAACAUUUGGAAAGCUGGAGAGAAAGGUGACACAUUGCAGGCUUUAGGCUGCCAUUAGGACUAAGUGUUCAGAUGGUAUUCUGAUUUCUCUUUAAGAGCAAGAGAUCUGAUUCCUCUUCCAUUCUUUCAACAGACCCAGAGACCAGUCUUAAUUAACAUAAAUAUCUUGGAUUUUUGAGAAUGAGGAGGGUUUAAAUUUAAUAUAUUUCCAAAAAUUAAAUGAACUGAAGGGGGAACAUUAAUGGAAUCCUCAAUUAAACUUGAAAAAAAUCACCUACAAACACAUAGUCAUUUUGGCUACUAACCGCUUGGAUCCUCUUGAAAUGCACUGAGCUAGUUAUUUCUCUGAAGUAGUCUGUAUUAGCAUGCACCUAGAGAAAGGUUCAGAGGUUUACGUUUUUGGGGUUUUUUUUUUUCUUUCUUUUUUUGGCACGGUAAAAUCUUUUUCAAAAAGAUUUUCUAUGAUACAGAUUUUUUUUAAUACUUCAGGUCAAUUCAUGUUCCCUUUGUAUAUGGUGAUUCAUGGUAAGAUAAAUAAACCACCACUGAAAUUUGAAAAGAAGCUACUUAAGGAAGAUCUUUAAGUAGCUAAUGAGUCAGUGUGUAUUCAUAGAACUUUGAUCAGUGCUUGCAGGGACUAUUUUGUGCUGAGAACAAAGACACCAAAGAGAUAGGGCCACUGGGAGGAAACUGGAGGGAGUGAAAAGGCUACCAUGCAACACUGGAAUCAGGAAAUUCCCAGCCCUAAUAACCAAAGCCAAGUGCAGGGGAGAGCAGCUGGAAAAAAUUCGGAACCACAAACAGGUGAAAAAUGCAAUUCUUAGCAAGGAGAAACACCUUUUAUUUUAGAUUACCUACAUAUUUUCAGUGUACAUUCUUGCCCAAGAAAAGAGGUUCAUUUGAUUCAACAGCUGAAGGACAGCCUGUCAUUCCCCCCUCCCCCAACAGCUGACACUCACUGGAGGGACACCAGAAUCUUCUGCAUCGGAGCAUUACAUCUUACAACAAAAUAUUUAAUUUUAAUUGAAUGUAUUUUCCUAGGAGGAUUGAAAGCACACACUAACCCACCGCUUUCGGGAUGGUAAUUUAUUUAUGUAGGUUUUGUUUAUUCACGACCUAGAUUGACUGAUGUGGUUCCUCCAGGAAUUGCCCCUCCAAAGGCCCUGACAAUAGGUCUUCUGUGGAGGGGACUGCUGGGAGAGCGUUCAGCUUCAGUAAAGGCAGCUUUCAGGGAAAGCAGGAGCUCAGGGUCAGGCUGCCAAGAUUUUAAUGAAUUGCUUCAGAUAUUCUCUCUCAUGGCUUCCACUGUGUUCAGAAAUCUGAAAGAAAAAUAAUAAAUCUGCAUACAAAACACAUGGCAGUUGGACAUAGAAGUUGCUGCACACACAAAUACCUGUUACAUAUUUCUUUUUAAAUGGCUAAGUGCCAUUUAAAAAAUGUGUACAUUUUUUAAUGAAAGUGUUUCUGUAAUAGGUAUUAUUUAAUCUUUUUCCAUCUAUUUCCCUAUGAAAUAAAGUCAUAUAAUGGCUCUGAAAAAAAAUGUUUCAUUUUAGUAAUUUUUUUUUUCCUGAGGCCAGUUAAUGGAAGAUUCCUAUUAGGGAAAAAAGUCAUUGAAGAGGUGAAAAAAUACAGUGUUCCAUCAUGCUUCUGCUUUUAUUCGACUAUGGCUUAUUUUCAGUCAGUUUGGGAGUAUUCACUUCUUUUUUUUUUUUAAUGUUUAUUUAUUUUUGAGAAAGCGCAAGCAGGGGAAGGGCAGAAAGAGGAGGACAGAGGAUCCCAAACAGGCUCUGUGCUGACUGCGGAGAGCCCGCCCAUUAUGGGGCCCAAAGUCAGGAACAGUAGAGGUUAUGACCUGAGCCAAAGUUGGACGCUCAACCAACUGAGCCACCCAGGGGCCCUAAGGGAGAAUAUACUUCUUAAAGCACAAGGUUAAUAAUUUCAGAAACUUUCUUUGCAUUUCUUUAAAUGUAAUCUAAUUUAAAGCCUUUACAUCUUCUGAUAAUUUGAUGUUUUAAAUCCACCCACCCAUGUCAUUAUUUAAAGUUUGCUCUUAACACAAAAAUAAUAGUUUUUUCUAUGGGAAAAAAAAUAAAAGUUUAUUUAUUUAUUUUGAGAGAGAGCGGGGUGGGGGGAACUGGGCAGAGAGGCAGAGAG